This 87-nucleotide unclassified non-coding RNA is filed under the name Pseudomonas migulae. Lineage: Bacteria; Pseudomonadati; Pseudomonadota; Gammaproteobacteria; Pseudomonadales; Pseudomonadaceae. The record is from RNAcentral.
GUAGGAGCCGGCUUGCUGGCGAUCAGCGAUAACGCGGUGUGCCUGACACACCGCGUUAUCGCUGAUCGCCAGCAAGCCGGCUCCUAC